RNAcentral lists this microRNA precursor (78 nucleotides) under Octodon degus (degu). RNAcentral's name for it is "miRNA (ENSODEG00000021893.1)". The record is from RNAcentral. Lineage: Eukaryota; Metazoa; Chordata; Mammalia; Rodentia; Octodontidae.
GGAGCAGGCACAGCUGUGAGAGACAGCUAGGUGGGCCGAGCCUGCAGCUGAGCUGGACACCUCAGCGAUGUGGGAAAG